Molecule: long non-coding RNA, 2529 nt
Filed under: Daucus carota (carrot)
Lineage: Eukaryota; Viridiplantae; Streptophyta; Magnoliopsida; Apiales; Apiaceae
Description: long non-coding RNA (DCAR_LNC006585)
Source: RNAcentral
UCAAGAAGAACCGCAAAAAAUGGAAGUAUCCAAAGUAACAAAGCUAGGGAGCUCUCUCCAUGUACCCUCCGUCCUUGAACUGGCCAAGGAAAAGAUUGAUGCAGCCCCAUCCCGAUACAUACGUUCGGAUCAAGUACCUGUUCUUUCCAGCGCCAAUCCUGCAAUCGUAGUCCCAGUAAUUGAUCUGCAGUUGUUAUUUGAUGGAGAUUUAUUGGAAACGGAGCUAAAUAAAUUACACCAAGCGUGUAAAGAGUGGGGCUUCUUUCAGGUAUCUAAUAAUAUUUCGAAUUAGCUAUAUAGGAAGGAUUUUCUAAUCCAAAAAAAUUUAUCGGUUUUAAGAUAUCUCCCUGAGCUAUANGAAGAACGAUACGCACCCCCUUCCGUUAAAUUUCGUUAACUUCCAUUAACUUCCGCUAAAAUAUUCCCUCCGUCUCAAUUUACAUGUCCCUUUUACUUUUCCUGGAGUCAAAUUGAUUAAUUUUGACCAACUAUUAGAAAAUAUUUAUUUAUUAUUUUAGGAAAUAGAAAGUUAUAUAUUAAAAUAGACUAGAUUUACUUUUUGAUGGUAUUUUUUUUUAAUUUUUUGUUUAAUUAAGCUAUCCCCAAGUCAAAAUGAUUUUACAUAUCAAAUGAUUUUAAAUUUUUAGUGAUAUGUGUAUUAAAUACUUAAAAUAUACACUUUUUUAAAUAUAAAAAUAAAUAUUAUAUGAUUUAUUAUAAAUAUAUACACUUUUAUUAAACAAAAAAUUUGAUAUGUAAAAUCAUUUGAUAUUUAAAAUCAUUUUGACUUGGGGAUAACUUAAUUAAACAAAAAUUUAAUAAAAAUAUCACCAAAACGUAAAUCCAGUCUAUUUUAAUAUGUAACUUCCUAUUUCCUAGAAUAAUAGAUAAAUAUUUUCUAAUAGUUGGUCAAAAAUUAUUCAAUUUGACUCCUCGAAAAGCAAAAGGAACAAGUAAAUUGAGACCGGGGGAGUACUUUAACGGAAUUUAACGGAGGGGGUGGGUAUCGUUUUUAAAAUGUAAAGAUAGGGGGUGCGAGUUGAGUUUCUCAAAGUAUGGGUACAAUAUCGUUUUUGAAUGAUAGUUAAGGGGUGCGAUAUGCAAUUAUCUUUAUAAUUAAUGAUGAAAUUAGUUUAAAAAAAUUCAAAAUAUUUAAAGUCAAAAUAUAUAAAUAUAAUAAUGAUGAAUGGAUUUGGAUCUAUAGUUGGAAGACAUGGAAUAGGAUUUGGUUACUGUCCUAAAUUUGCAUCAUUUCACUACAAGAAAAGUGAUAUUUUCAGUCGAAAAUAGCCGCUUUUUUUGUAGUGUUUGAUGAUCCAAAUGUUGAUCUAUGAUGGGAGUUGACCUUAGGAUGUAAAUGUAAUCCAAUGGAGAUAUAUGUAAUUUGUUAUUUAGCCUCUCCAUACCAAUUUAGAUUAGCCUUGCUCAUUUCACAAAAUAUUAAAGAGUAUUAAAUGAUUGUUCCUUUUUCCAUUUCUGCCCAUAUUUGUGUGUUGACUAACUAUAAUAUUAGCUAGAUGGUGCAUUGAAAUGAUAACGAAGAAAGAGUAAGAAUGGAAGAUUGUUCAUAAAUUAACGUGCCUUAAAAUGAAAGAGGCUCAACUAUUUUGACAUUCAAUUUUUCUUUAAAAGGGUCAUCUAAUUUUGGAUGGAGGGAAGUAAAUAUUAAUCUCAUAAUCGAGAAUAAUAGAAUCCAAAAAAUUCUUUUAAGAUUGUGAUUUAAUGCACCUUCUUGGUGUAUAAUAACUCGCUAGCAUCACAUAUGCAUGCCUAUAUAUAUAGCUCGCACUCCACACAGGACACUUUAAAAAAGAACAACAAAGAAUACUAUCAUUACAUUUUGUUUUUCAUAGAAAAGGAUUUCUUAAGAUUAUAAUUUCAUAAUUAAACACCAAUUAAACAUAAUAGAUGAAAUCUAACAUCCAAACUCAUCCAAAUUAUUAAUAUAAAAUAUUAUAGAGUCCAUAAAAGAAUCCAAAAUAGAAUCAUGUAUAUAUAUAUUUUGCACGAUUAAUAUUAUAGAAUCCAAAACAUGAUUCUAUUCUAGAUUCUGUUCUGAAUUCUAUUCUGGAUUUUAUAUAAUAUUUCAUAUUAAUAAUUUGGAUGAGUUUGCAUGUUAGAUUUCAUAUAUUAUGUUUAAUUGGUCUUUAGUGAUGAAAUCAUAAUCUUAACAAAUUAUUUUUGAUAAAAAAUAAAAUUUUAUAAUAAUGUUCUUUAUUGUUAUUUUUUCGAAGUGUUAUAUAUGAAGUGCAACCUCUAUAUAUAUGUGUGUCUCUAUAUACAUAACACAGACUCAAGAAGAACCGCAAAAAAUGGAAGUAUCCAAAGUAACAAAGCUAGGGAGCUCUCUCCAUGUACCCUCCGUCCUUGAACUGGCCAAGGAAAAGAUUGAUGCAGCCCCAUCCCGAUACAUACGUUCGGAUCAAGUACCUGUUCUUUCCAGCGCCAAUCCUGCAAUCGUAGUCCCAGUAAUUGAUCUGCAGUUGUUAUUUGAUGGAGAUUUAUUGGAAACGGAGCUAAAUAAAUUAC